Long non-coding RNA from Drosophila serrata, 291 nucleotides. RefSeq lists it as uncharacterized. NCBI's taxonomy places the organism in Eukaryota, Metazoa, Arthropoda, Insecta, Diptera, Drosophilidae. The record is from RefSeq and is a predicted model, not a curated record.
GGAAAAUCGUCGCCAGUGGUGAUAUUCGUGGAUGGUGCAUCCCCCCGUCAAGAACCUGCCUUCCGUGCAUAUUUGUGAACUUCAUCAAGAAAGAGAAAAACAGAGAUACAAAAGCGCUUUCGUUGGGACUUUCCGCAUCAAGAAACAGAGAAGAAGCUGACUUCGUGGAUAACAUGGAAAGCCCAAUUGGAGUCACCAGGAAAACAACACUACGAGGGAAGGAACUAACUAAGCAACGGAUGGCCACGUGUCCUUUACUGAGCCAGAAGCUUAAAACUCAGUGAAGGAGUU